RNAcentral lists this ribosomal RNA (532 nucleotides) under uncultured bacterium. Its description in RNAcentral is "partial 16S ribosomal RNA". It matches the Rfam family "Bacterial small subunit ribosomal RNA", at positions 355 to 879 of the family's 1533-position model. The record is from RNAcentral.
UGGGGAAUUUUGGACAAUGGGGGAAACCCUGAUCCAGCCAUCCCGCGUGUGCGAUGAAGGCCUUCGGGUUGUAAAGCACUUUUGGCAGGAAAGAAACGUCGCGGGUUAAUACCCCGCGAAACUGACGGUACCUGCAGAAUAAGCACCGGCUAACUACGUGCCAGCAGCCGCGGUAAUACGUAGGGCUGCAAGCGUUAAUCGGAAUUACUGGGCGUAAAGCGUGCGCAGGCGGUUCGGAAAGAAAGAUGUGAAAUCCCAGAGCUUAACUUUGGAACUGCAUUUUUAACUACCGGGCUAGAGUGUGUCAGAGGGAGGUGGAAUUCCGCGUGUAGCAGUGAAAUGCGUAGAUAUGCGGAGGAACACCGAUGGCGAAGGCAGCCUCCUGGGAUAACACUGACGCUCAUGCACGAAAGCGUGGGGAGCAAACAGGAUUAGAUACCCUGGUAGUCCACGCCCUAAACGAUGUCAACUAGCUGUUGGGGCCUUCGGGCCUCGGUAGCGCAGCUAACGCGUGAAGUUGACCGCCUGGGGG